This 292-nucleotide ribosomal RNA is filed under the name uncultured bacterium. RNAcentral describes it as "partial 16S ribosomal RNA". It matches the Rfam family "Bacterial small subunit ribosomal RNA", at positions 505 to 796 of the family's 1533-position model. The record is from RNAcentral.
GUGUCAGCAGCCGCGGUAAUACGGAGGGUGCUAGCGUUGUUCGGAAUUAUUGGGCGUAAAGAGCGUGUAGGCGGCCUCGUAAGUCAGAUGUGAAAGCCCUUGGCUUAACCAAGGAAGUGCAUUUGAAACUGCCUGGCUUGAGUACGGGAGGGGAAAGCGGAAUUCCCGGUGUAGAGGUGAAAUUCGUAGAUAUCGGGAGGAACACCGGUGGCGAAGGCGGCUUUCUGGACCGAUACUGACGCUGAGACGCGAAAGCGUGGGGAGCAAACAGGAUUAGAUACCCUGGUAGUCC